CCUACGGGGCGCUGCAGUGAGGAAUAUUGGUCAAUGGACGAGAGUCUGAACCAGCCAAGUAGCGUGAAGGAUGACUGCCCUAUGGGUUGUAAACUUCUUUUAUAUGGGAAUAAAAUGUUCCACGUGUGGGAUUUUGUAUGUACCAUAUGAAUAAGGAUCGGCUAACUCCGUGCCAGCAGCCGCGGUAAUACGGAGGAUCCGAGCGUUAUCCGGAUUUAUUGGGUUUAAAGGGAGCGUAGGUGGAUUGUUAAGUCAGUUGUGAAAGUUUGCGGCUCAACCGUAAAAUUGCAGUUGAAACUGGCAGUCUUGAGUACAGUAGAGGUGGGCGGAAUGCGUGGUGUAGCGGUGAAAUGCUUAGAUAUCACGAAGAACUCCGAUUGCGAAGGCAGUUCACUGGACUGCAACUGACACUGAGGCUCGAAAGUGUGGGUAUCAAACAGGAUUAGAUACCCUUGUAGUC
RNAcentral lists this ribosomal RNA (460 nucleotides) under uncultured bacterium. Its description in RNAcentral is "partial 16S ribosomal RNA". It matches the Rfam family "Bacterial small subunit ribosomal RNA", at positions 338 to 795 of the family's 1533-position model. The record is from RNAcentral.